Molecule: long non-coding RNA, 2636 nt
Organism: Pomacea canaliculata
Lineage: Eukaryota; Metazoa; Mollusca; Gastropoda; Architaenioglossa; Ampullariidae
Exons: 2
Source: RefSeq, a predicted model, not a curated record
UCGAAAAUCAUCUGGCCUAACAAACGAAUAACAUUCUGAUUCUGCUGUCCGAUGGCGGAUAAGGCUGCAGAAAAAAAGGAGGGUGAAGAAGGAGAAGGAACAGAAGAGAAGCAACAGAAGAAUCAGGAGGAUCAGAAGAAGAAGAAUCAGGAGGAUCAGAUGAAUCAGGAGGAGAAGAAAAAGAAGAGGAGGAGAAGAAUCAGGAGGAGAAGAAAAAGAAGAAGGAGGAGAAGAAGAGACAUAAGAAGAACAAGAAGAAUAACAACAACAAGAACAAACAGAAGAGUGCAGAGUUUUAUAGGUAUGUGGAGUCAGUCCUAAUGGGUGUAGCCUACCCCAGCCCAGCACCUCCACUGCAGCUCCCCUACGAUAAGCAGAAGUGGAACCGAGUCACUCCAACGAUACCCAAGGAAGAAUUUAUCUUGGUGCCUCAAUGACUAUGCUCUUCGCUAAAUUUUUGUUCAAAAUGACCAGCAGUCUUACUGUUUGUACAAGUGGGUAAAGUGACUGGACGACGUUGACUGAAGUAAACUUUUCCGCGGAUGUGAUAACGACGAGCGAGCAAGGGUGAUAAUUACUGUGUGCCAAGAGUGAUAUUCCAAGACAGUGGAUUAAAAAAAAUAUUUGAUGUAUAGGAAACCGCAACCACCUGGAAACUACAAAUGACUGCUGCUGCCAGUCUAAGGGAGACAACCAGGCAAAAGAGAAGAUGGUGGUUCACGGCGUGGUACAAUAGAUGAAAGGCAAUCGUCGCAGGAGGGAUGAGACGCCCAGGUUUACCCAGCCAUGUGUCUUUUCGCUGGACUAAUUGACUUUCCCUGUGGUUUGUGCAAUCAGUUAAAGGAUUGUAAAUGAGUUAAAGCCAGACUAUGGUAUUAGCAGGACGAUGACUUUUAUUAUGCGUGACUCUUUCCAUUUUCAUCCUGAAGUUGUUUGUUGCCCGUAGUGUAGCAUUUCGUGUCGUUUCUCCAUACGUGUAUUACCAUAUUAUAUGCCACGUCAUUGAUAUUGUAAGUGCAUAUCAUUGCAUAUCAUUCUCGCUGUUUAAAUAAUAUGCCAUAUUUCGCCACAAGCGUAUGCAGUUACGUAACAUUCUCACUACAUAUCAUUUCAUAUUAUGUGCACUACAAGUGUAGUCAAUACCAUAUCACUAAAGCAUACAUUUCACAUCAUUCCUAUUUGUAAAAUUAUCUCAAGAAAUAAUGAUUUUUGCUGUUAUUUACCAAGCGAUAGAAGGGGGGGGGGGGAUUGUAUUUUGUGUGAAGCGAACAGCAAAGUUGUAUUAAAGGCAAAUACAUGAAGGUUUGCCUUGUUUUUGUUCUUUGGAUAGUAGAAGGUGCACAAUUGGGUGGUGGGUGGGGUUCAAAUUUGGGUGUGUUCUUAAUGCAACUGUCAGUGACUGGAAGAAAAGUCUACUACACUCCAAUCAGCAUAUACGCUCUUGUUACCCAGAACAAGUCCCUAAAUUAUCCGACUGGAUGGUUCGGAGAUCAACGACCAGAUUUGCUUACUCAUAAACUUUUGAAAAAUGUUCGUAAGAUUAAUAUUCAAAUCGGUAAUUAUGGUGAUUAAAAAUGUAGACCGGCCUCUCUGGUAAGGUAUAACAUUACAGAAUUCUGACAGGGACACAGUAAUCAAAAGCGAUUGAAUUUCAUUUUUCUGAAAAAAAUAUGGAUUGAUCGUCUUGCGUAUCUUGAUUAAAAUGUAUUUUAAGACCAUUUCUAACCUUUAUUUUAAUUCAUCCGUGUAUUUGCGUUAGUUUAAUUACCAAGGAACUGAUUUUCGCAAUAAGAAUAAUAAUAAUAAAACUGCACAAAGUUGAUCCUGAUCAGCUUUUUUGGGGCUUCCAACCAAACUUCUGUGUUGUCGGGUCACAAAUUCUUCCGUUGACAAAAUGUUAUUAUUCCUUUUUUCUUCUAAACAGCAGCCAUCACUCAUAGGAUUCGAGCUACUGGAGUUUCUUAAUAACGCCGCUACCUGCAGCCGCACGAGACGCUCACACCCACACACCACCCUGCAAAUCACUCAUCUACUCAUCUGCCCACCCCACUUUUUUUCUCUUCAAACUUUUUGUAAAACAUCAGGUUUAUUACCUGCAUCCCCUUUCCUUCACCAAAACCAAUGUUUACACUUACAUGGCUUUUUUACGACCAGAAAGGUUACGACGACAAAGAAAGUCAGAAAUAUUAUUUAUAUGCUAGUUGAAUUAACCUUUAGUUUGAAAAUAAGGAUGACUGCCAUAUCCAAGAUGCAGAAAACUGUUUUAUUACAUUUUUAAUUUUUUUAAAUUAACAUAUAUGUAAUGCCGAUUUAGAGUUUUCAAACCAGACCCAGACAGCUCCUUGUUGGACUAAUUAGGCAUGUAAUGCUUAUUUCAAGUUCUCAAAAACGAACACUCCAUAUGCCUAACGGUUAAAUAUGUAAGGGUAAUGACCCCUGCAAGUCUUGAGCAACGCAUUUUUGCUUCAGUUUUGCUCUUCAUUACAAAAUGUUCAGUUAAAUAUAGUAUCAGUUUGGUAAGUAUGAUUUCUACACUGUUUCUGAGAUUGGAAUAGUAAGCAAAGAUUCCAGACCAAUGUGAUAAAAAUAUUGAUGAUGCAAAAAAUUAUAGUAUAGUAACAACAAGAAUUUUAAAA